GUGGGGAAUCUUCCACAAUGGACGAAAGUCUGAUGGAGCAACGCCGCGUGAGUGAAGAAGGGUUUCGGCUCGUAAAGCUCUGUUGUCGGGGACGAAUGUGCAGUAUUUGAAUAAAGUAGUGCAAUGACGGUACCUGACGAGGAAGCCACGGCUAACUACGUGCCAGCAGCCGCGGUAAUACGUAGGUGGCAAGCGUUGUCCGGAAUUAUUGGGCGUAAAGGGAGCGCAGGCGGGAAGGUAAGUCGGUCUUAAAAGUGCGGGGCUCAACCCCGUGAUGGGAUCGAGACUAUCUUUCUUGAGUGCAGGAGAGGAAAGUGGAAUUCCUAGUGUAGCGGUGAAAUGCGUAGAUAUUAGGAGGAACACCAGUGGCGAAGGCGACUUUCUGGACUGUAACUGACGCUGAGGCUCGAAAGCCAGGGGAGCGAACGGGAUUAGAAACCCUAGUAGUCC
This 450-nucleotide ribosomal RNA is filed under the name uncultured bacterium. RNAcentral's name for it is "partial 16S ribosomal RNA". It matches the Rfam family "Bacterial small subunit ribosomal RNA", at positions 354 to 796 of the family's 1533-position model. The record is from RNAcentral.